UACCCAGCGAUGGGGUGCGAAUCUCGAAAGCCUAUCUCAGUUCGGAUUGGAGGCUGAAACCCGCCUCCAUGAAGUUGGAUUCGCUAGUAAUCGCGCAUCAGCCAUGGCGCGGUGAAUACGUUCCCGGGCCUUGUACACACCGCCCGUCAAGCCAUGGGAGCUGGGGGUGCCUGAAGUUCGUGACCGCAAGGAUCGACCUAGGGCAAAACCGGUGACUGGGGCUAAGUCGUAACAAGGUACC
This 241-nucleotide ribosomal RNA is filed under the name uncultured bacterium. RNAcentral's name for it is "partial 16S ribosomal RNA". It matches the Rfam family "Bacterial small subunit ribosomal RNA", at positions 1251 to 1500 of the family's 1533-position model. The record is from RNAcentral.